CUAAAUUAUUAAUUAGGCUAGGAGAUUUUCUUUUUCUAAAAGAUUAAGGAAGUUUAUCUAUGCCUGGCUAUUGUGUAUAUGAGCCAACACCCUGUGCUUGAUGUUGUAGAUCAAAUUACUCAUUAUCCAUUAAAAAAUAAGUAAUUUUUAUUCUCUGGGAAAAGAGGAAAGCAUAUUCAAUGAAAGUUUAUUAUAAUGAACCAUCAUGUUACAAUGGAUUUAAUAGUUCAAAUUAGGCAUACUGAUGUAUCAUUGUCACACAAUACUAAAAUUUUCCAAUUUUCAUUUUUCAAGGUUGGUAACUAUGUUGUGCAUUUAUUGCUGCAUUAGCUUCUAGGAUAUGAAGAUUUUCUUCCUAUCUUCUUCACAUCAAAUAGUGCCAGUAAUUAAGCCUUUAGAUGAAAAAGAUUGUUUUCAAAUGGAUGAAAUUGACACUAAUCUGGAAAGCACAAGUAACAUACAGCAUGAUGAUAAAAAUUUACCAGAUCUUGAACCACCUCAGCUGUCAGAUGAAGAAAUAGUAAUAGAAGAAUAUGACUUUUGAAGAAAAAAAUUACUUUUAAAAAUUUUAAUGUGAAAAUAUUUUCUACUUUAAAUUAUUUUAUAACUCAUGUAAUUUUUUGGAGAUAAUUAAAAUAUUUAAAUUUCUAAUCUAGUGCAAAACAAAUUUGUUUUUGAAAUGCAGAAACAAAAAUUUUCAGUUUCAUGUUUUUAUGAGUUUUAAAAGACAUUUGUUUUCCUACAGCAAUGAAUUAAUAAAAAAUAUUCCUUCUUCUUCUAUUUUAAGAAACUAACAGGUAAUUAGGUUGGAGGAAUUGUUUCUUCAUAUACAACCUUUUUCUCGGCUUCCCCUUUAUUGAAUGUAAAUCUUAUAAAUAUCAGAUUCUUUUAUGAGCUCAAUGUAUUCAUUCUUUUAAAUUCUGAAAAUUUAAUUCCCAAUUAUUAUGCUUCAAUAAUUUCAAGCAUUCUUUCUGCAAUUAUGAAUUUAUUUUUAAAAUAUCCAGUGUUAUUCUUGCUGAUUAAAGAGAGUUUCCUAAGCCUCAUUAUCCUCUGGCACUGCACAUAACUGUUUGCUAAGUAGUCUGAGUCAUACUGUCUAUUAAUGUAACAGUUUGACCAUGAAAUAGCAGGGCAAGCCUUAUAUUGAUUUGUAGCCAAUGAAACAGCCUGUCAGAUAAUGUUGGGAAAAAAAUUUUGUCUUUCAUUGGUAUCUUGAGCUUGAGUGUAAAAAAACACAUGGUGGCCUUAAAUGAUUAAGUAUUUCAAGGCUUUUCAUACUAAAACUAAAUUUCUAUAAGAUUUGUAUGUUAUCAUAUCAUAUGGCAUUAUUCCUUCAGGAAUUAUAUGUGUAAAAUAGUAUUUCUGAUUUAGAAAAAAUAGUACUUUUAGUAUUUUAAGCUCAGUUAUGAAUUUUUGUAUUCAGAAUAAUCGUUUUGUUUGGGAAUAGAUUAGUAUGCAAAAAGCCUUUUUUCACAGUUCAAAAUUUAUAAGAAAAUAACUUCAUUAUAAUAAGAAAAGGACUUCAUUUAUUAAUAAGCUUGUAUAAUCUGCAAUGAAUUUCUAGAAAUUUCUCUCAAAGGUUUCAAAUUUGAUCAAAAUCUAAAUGUUGUCAAAUAUUAAGAUUUAGUAAGAGAUAAAGAAAUAUAUAACAUUUUACAUACAAACACAUGUAUUUUUAUUUAUGCAUAAAAGAAAAAAUUUAAUAAGAGAAAGAUUGUUAUUUAUGUACAUAUUCUCAAGUUUUACCUCACUUGGUAAAUUUUUUCUGAAAACUUAGAAAGUUUUCAUAAUUUGUUUAUUUUAGUUAAAAUUAAAGUUAUUUGAUGACUAAUUAAACAUGUUAGAAUUAUUUAAAAGAAAUAUAAGUUUAAGAAUUUAAUAUUUAGCUGUCAAUAUAUUUGAAUUAGAAAGUGUAGUCACCAAGAAAUGUCUUACAGGUGCCAAACUUUAGAUUUCAGAUAAAAUAUAAAUAAAAUUUUAAUUUUUCGUUGUUAUUAUUAUUUAUGUAUGUAUGUUUUAAUAAACAUUAUUGGUUGGGCAAAAUUUAUUUAAAAUAAAAAGUUUCUUAUUUUUUUCCAUUUUGUAAAAAAAAAAAGAAAAGAAAAGAAAAGAAAAGAAAAAAAAAAAAAAAGAAAGAAAGAAAGAAAGAAAAGAACAAAAAAUUGAAACCACUGAUUAACAGGAUUUCUGCAAUUGGUUCAAUUUUAUUUUCAUAUUAAAAUUUCUGUCAUCUGUUAAUUUUGUAACAGGAGGAACAUAAAAACCUUCUUGAUUAUA
This 2277-nucleotide long non-coding RNA is filed under the name Stegodyphus dumicola. RNAcentral describes it as "uncharacterized LOC118195726". The record is from RNAcentral. Lineage: Eukaryota; Metazoa; Arthropoda; Arachnida; Araneae; Eresidae.